CCGGCCUUCGCGAGCUUCCUUCUGGAUUCCAGCGCGAAGCCGCCGCGGAAACUCCCCGGGCGGGCAUCGGAGCUCUGGGGCGGGGCGGCCGGGCUCAGAGGGCGGGCGGGAGCAGGCGGGCGGCGAGGGCGGGCAGCAGCAGCGGGAGCAGGGGCGCCCCGGGCGCCGGGGCCGCUGGGGACGAACGCGGCGGGUCAGGCCCCGAAGCCCGGGCCGCGGUGGCCGCCUCAGGCGCCCGCUCUGGGGUGGGGGUGGGGGCAUCUUUCGGGACCGAACUCGCCGCAGCCUCCCUCUUUGUGCUCCUUUCCCCUGCUGCCCUUCCAGAUGCGCUCUUUCCAGAAAGGCAGCACACGCAUGUCUCUGCCGUGGCCCCAGAUCCUCCCCGCGCCGCCGUUUUGAGCGUUCACACUCAUUACCCAGAUAUCUCCCCACAAACCUAAACAAUUUCGAGAGGGACUUGUGUUCUGCAACCAGUCACAGAAUAUCAGGUGAGCUGGGCGUGUCUUCACUGACCCACCCGCCCAGGGAUGCUGCACUCCUCUCCACCCUGCUCAGAAUCACUAGAAUGACCGUUCUGUGGCUACAGCCCUAAAAGAGCUACUAAAAAGACCAGAAGUAGUAUGAGAACUUAUGAAUACGAAUAUAAAUAAAGGACAUCUGGAGAA
RNAcentral lists this long non-coding RNA (665 nucleotides) under Homo sapiens (human). Its description in RNAcentral is "HSALNT0317613". Lineage: Eukaryota; Metazoa; Chordata; Mammalia; Primates; Hominidae. The record is from RNAcentral.